This 1507-nucleotide ribosomal RNA is filed under the name Campylobacter sp. canine oral taxon 011. RNAcentral's name for it is "bacterial SSU rRNA". It matches the Rfam family "Bacterial small subunit ribosomal RNA". The record is from RNAcentral. Lineage: Bacteria; Pseudomonadati; Campylobacterota; Epsilonproteobacteria; Campylobacterales; Campylobacteraceae.
GAGUUUGAUCCUGGCUCAGAGUGAACGCUGGCGGCGUGCCUAAUACAUGCAAGUCGAAAGGAGAUUAAAGUAAGCUUGCUUAUUUUUAAUCUUAGUGGCGCACGGGUGAGUAAUGUAUAGCUAAUCUGCCCUACACUAGAGGACAACAGUUGGAAACGACUGCUAAUACUCUAUACUCCUUCUUUACAUAAGUUAAGUCGGGAAAGUUUUUCGGUGUAGGAUGAGGCUAUAUCGUAUCAGCUAGUUGGUGAGGUAAUGGCUCACCAAGGCUAUGACGCGUAACUGGUCUGAGAGGAUGAUCAGUCACACUGGAACUGAGACACGGUCCAGACUCCUACGGGAGGCAGCAGUAGGGAAUAUUGCUCAAUGGGGGAAACCCUGAAGCAGCAACGCCGCGUGGAGGAUGACACUUUUCGGAGCGUAAACUCCUUUUCUUGGGAAAGAAUUAUGACGGUACCCAAGGAAUAAGCACCGGCUAACUCCGUGCCAGCAGCCGCGGUAAUACGGAGGGUGCAAGCGUUACUCGGAAUCACUGGGCGUAAAGGACGCGUAGGCGGAUUAUCAAGUCUUGAGUGAAAUCUAACGGCUUAACCGCUAAACUGCUUGGGAAACUGAUAAUCUAGAGUAAGGGAGAGGCAGAUGGAAUUCUUGGUGUAGGGGUAAAAUCCGUAGAGAUCAAGAAGAAUACCCAUUGCGAAGGCGAUCUGCUGGAACUUAACUGACGCUAAUGCGUGAAAGCGUGGGGAGCAAACAGGAUUAGAUACCCUGGUAGUCCACGCCCUAAACGAUGUAUACUAGUUGUUGCCAAGCUAGUCUUGGCAGUAAUGCACCUAACGGAUUAAGUAUACCGCCUGGGGAGUACGGUCGCAAGAUUAAAACUCAAAGGAAUAGACGGGGACCCGCACAAGCGGUGGAGCAUGUGGUUUAAUUCGAAGAUACGCGAAGAACCUUACCCGGACUUGAUAUCUAACAAAUCAUCUAGAGAUAGAAGAGUGUCUGCUUGCAGAAAUGUUAAGACAGGUGCUGCACGGCUGUCGUCAGCUCGUGUCGUGAGAUGUUGGGUUAAGUCCCGCAACGAGCGCAACCCACGUAUUUAGUUGCUAACGGUUAGGCCGAGCACUCUAAAUAGACUGCCUUCGUAAGGAGGAGGAAGGUGUGGACGACGUCAAGUCAUCAUGGCCCUUAUGUCCGGGGCGACACACGUGCUACAAUGGCAUAUACAAUGAGACGCAAUAUCGCGAGAUGGAGCAAAUCUAUAAAAUAUGUCCCAGUUCGGAUUGGAGUCUGCAACUCGACUCCAUGAAGCCGGAAUCGCUAGUAAUCGUAGAUCAGCCAUGCUACGGUGAAUACGUUCCCGGGUCUUGUACUCACCGCCCGUCACACCAUGGGAGUUGAUUUCACUCGAAGCCCAAAUACCAAACCGGUUAUGGUCCACAGUGGAAUCAGCGACUGGGGUGAAGUCGUAACAAGGUAACCGUAGGAGAACCUGCGGUUGGAUCACCUCCUU